GAUGAACGCUGGCGGCGUGCCUAAUACAUGCAAGUCGAGCGAACAGACGAGGAGCUUGCUCCUCUGACGUUAGCGGCGGACGGGUGAGUAACACGUGGAUAACCUACCUAUAAGACUGGGAUAACUUCGGGAAACCGGAGCUAAUACCGGAUAAUAUAUUGAACCGCAUGGUUCAAUAGUGAAAGACGGUUUUGCUGUCACUUAUAGAUGGAUCCGCGCCGCAUUAGCUAGUUGGUAAGGUAACGGCUUACCAAGGCAACGAUGCGUAGCCGACCUGAGAGGGUGAUCGGCCACACUGGACCUGAGACACGGUCAGACUCCUACGGGAGGCAGCAGUAGGGAAUCUUCCGCAAUGGGCGAAAGCCUGACGGAGCAACGCCGCGUGAGUGAUGAAGGUCUUCGGAUCGUAAAACUCUGUUAUUAGGGAAGAACAAAUGUGUAAGUAACUAUGCACGUCUUGACGGUACCUAAUCAGAAAGCCACGGCUAACUACGUG
RNAcentral lists this ribosomal RNA (496 nucleotides) under uncultured bacterium. RNAcentral's name for it is "partial 16S ribosomal RNA". It matches the Rfam family "Bacterial small subunit ribosomal RNA", at positions 28 to 507 of the family's 1533-position model. The record is from RNAcentral.